GCUGCCCCCUUUCUUCUUUCCUAAUACAUGCAAGUCGAGCGAACAGACGAGGAGCUUGCUCCUCUGACGUUAGCGGCGGACGGGUGAGUAACACGUGGAUAACCUACCUAUAAGACUGGGAUAACUUCGGGAAACCGGAGCUAAUACCGGAUAAUAUAUUGAACCGCAUGGUUCAAUAGUGAAAGACGGUUUUGCUGUCACUUAUAGAUGGAUCCGCGCCGCAUUAGCUAGUUGGUAAGGUAACGGCUUACCAAGGCAACGAUGCGUAGCCGACCUGAGAGGGUGAUCGGCCACACUGGAACUGAGACACGGUCCAGACUCCUACGGGAGGCAGCAGUAGGGAAUCUUCCGCAAUGGGCGAAAGCCUGACGGAGCAACGCCGCGUGAGUGAUGAAGGUCUUCGGAUCGUAAAACUCUGUUAUUAGGGAAGAACAAAUGUGUAAGUAACUAUGCACGUCUUGACGGUACCUAAUCAGAAAGCCACGGCUAACUACGUG
Molecule: ribosomal RNA, 497 nt
Filed under: uncultured bacterium
Lineage: Bacteria
Description: partial 16S ribosomal RNA
Rfam family: Bacterial small subunit ribosomal RNA
Source: RNAcentral